CCUACGGGGGGCAGCAGUGGGGAAUCUUGCGCAAUGGGCGAAAGCCUGACGCAGCGACGCCGCGUGAGGGAUGAAGGUCUUCGGAUCGUAAACCUCUGUCAGCAGGGAAGAAAGGUCACUGUGCUAAUCAGCAGUGAAUUGACGGUACCUGCAUAGAAAGCCCCGGCUAACUCCGUGCCAGCAGCCGCGGUAAUACGGAGGGGGCGAGCGUUAAUCGGAAUUACUGGGCGUAAAGCGAUCGUAGGCGGUUUGUCAAGUCAAGGGUGAAAUCCCCGGGCUCAACGUGGGAACUGCCUUUGAAACUGGCAAACUGGAGUGCAGGAGAGGAGAGUGGAAUUCCAGGUGUAGGAGUGAAAUCCGUAGAUAUCUGGAGGAACAUCAGUGGCGAAGGCGACUAUCUGGUACAUAACUGACGCUGAGGAGCGAAAGCGUGGGUAGCAAACAGGAUUAGAUACCCUUGUAGUC
RNAcentral lists this ribosomal RNA (465 nucleotides) under uncultured bacterium. RNAcentral's name for it is "partial 16S ribosomal RNA". It matches the Rfam family "Bacterial small subunit ribosomal RNA", at positions 338 to 795 of the family's 1533-position model. The record is from RNAcentral.